This 505-nucleotide ribosomal RNA is filed under the name uncultured bacterium. RNAcentral's name for it is "bacterial SSU rRNA". It matches the Rfam family "Bacterial small subunit ribosomal RNA", at positions 15 to 518 of the family's 1533-position model. The record is from RNAcentral.
GAUUAUGGCUCAGGAUGAACGCUGGCGGCGUGCUUAACACAUGCAAGUCGACGAGGUUCAUUUUACGAUCCCCUCGGGGGUGACGAGUUGAACCGAGUGGCGGACGGGUGAGUAACGCGUGGGUAACCUGCCCCAUACAGGGGGAUAACAGUUGGAAACGACUGACAAUACCGCAUAAGCGCACAGGGAGGCAUCUUCUGGUGUGAAAAAAUUCCGGUGGUAUGGGGAUGGGCCCGCGUCUGAUUAGCUAGUUGGCAGGGUAACGGCCUACCAAGGCGACGAUCAGUAGCCGACCUGAGAGGGUGACCGGCCACAUUGGGACUGAGACACGGCCCAAACUCCUACGGGAGGCAGCAGUGGGGAAUAUUGCACAAUGGGCGAAAGCCUGAUGCAAGCGACGCCGCGUGAGUGAUGAAGUAUUUCGGUAUGUAAAGCUCUAUCAGCAGGGAAGAAAAAUGACGGUACCUGACUAAGAAGCCCCGGCUAACUACGUGCCAGCCGCCGC